GAUGAACGCUGGCGGCGUGCUUAACACAUGCAAGUCGAACGAAGCACUUUAUUUGAUUUCCUUCGGGACUGAUUAUUUUGUGACUGAGUGGCGGACGGGUGAGUAACGCGUGGGUAACCUGCCUUGUACAGGGGGAUAACAGUUGGAAACGGCUGCUAAUACCGCAUAAGCGCACGGCAUCGCAUGAUGCAGUGUGAAAAACUCCGGUGGUAUAAGAUGGACCCGCGUUGGAUUAGCUAGUUGGUGAGGUAACGGCCCACCAAGGCGACGAUCCAUAGCCGACCUGAGAGGGUGACCGGCCACAUUGGGACUGAGACACGGCCCAAACUCCUACGGGAGGCAGCAGUGGGGAAUAUUGCACAAUGGGCGAAAGCCUGAUGCAGCGACGCCGCGUGAGCGAAGAAGUAUUUCGGUAUGUAAAGCUCUAUCAGCAGGGAAGAUAAUGACGGUACCUGACUAAGAAGCACCGGCUAA
Molecule: ribosomal RNA, 474 nt
Filed under: uncultured bacterium
Lineage: Bacteria
Description: bacterial SSU rRNA
Rfam family: Bacterial small subunit ribosomal RNA
Source: RNAcentral